AUUGAACGCUGGCGGCAGGCCUAACACAUGCAAGUCGAGCGGAUGAAGGGAGCUUGCUCCUGGAUUCAGCGGCGGACGGGUGAGUAAUUCCUAGGAAUCUGCCUGGUAGUGGGGGAUAACGUCCGUAAACGGGCGCUAAUACCGCAUACGUCCUGAGGGAGAAAGUGGGGGAUCUUCGGACCUCACGCUAUCAGCUGAUCCUAGGUCGGAUUAGCUAGUUGGUUGGGUAAAGGCCUACCAAGGCGACGAUCCGUAACUGGUCUGAGAGGAUGAUCAGUCAAACUGGAACUGAGACACGGUCCAGACUCCUACGGGAGGCAGCAGUGGGGAAUAUUGGACAAUGGGCGAAAGCCUGAUCCAGACAUGCCGCGUGUGUGAAGAAGGUCUUCGGAUUGUAAAGCACUUUAAGUUGGGAGGAAGGGCAGUAAGUUAAUACCUUGCUGUUUUGACGUUACCAACAGAAUAAGCACCGGCUAACUUCGUG
Molecule: ribosomal RNA, 484 nt
Filed under: uncultured bacterium
Lineage: Bacteria
Description: partial 16S ribosomal RNA
Rfam family: Bacterial small subunit ribosomal RNA
Source: RNAcentral